UACGAAGGGGGCUAGCGUUGCUCGGAAUUACUGGGCGUAAAGCGCACGUAGGCGGUCUUUUAAGUCGGAGGUGAAAUCCUGGAGCUCAACUCCAGAACUGCCUUCGAUACUGGAAGACUUGAGUCCGGGAGAGGUGAGUGGAACUGCGAGUGUAGAGGUGAAAUUCGUAGAUAUUCGCAAGAACACCAGUGGCGAAGGCGGCUCACUGGCCCGGUACUGACGCUGAGGUGCGAAAGCGUGGGGAGCAAACAGG
Molecule: ribosomal RNA, 253 nt
Filed under: uncultured bacterium
Lineage: Bacteria
Description: partial 16S ribosomal RNA
Rfam family: Bacterial small subunit ribosomal RNA
Source: RNAcentral